CCGUUGCUUAACGCGAUAAGUUUCCCGGCCUGGGGGGCUACGGCCGGAAAGGUUAAAACUCAAAAGGAAUUUACCGGUUUCCCGCCCAAAGCAGCGGGGGCCUUUGGCUAAAUUCGGUGCUUCGCGUAAGAACCUUUCCUGGGUUUUACAUAUAAGUGGUAGUGAAGUGAAAGCGGAACGGGCCUUCGGGGAGCUUAUACAGGUGCUGCAUGGCUGUCGUCAGCUCGUGCCGUGAGGUGUCCGGUUAAGUCCGGUAACGAGCGCAACCCUCGCUGUAUGUUAUACGUGUCAUACGGGACUGCCGGUAUUAAGCCGGAGGAAGGCGGGGAUGACGUCAAGUCAGCAUGGCCUUUAUAUCCAGGGCUACACACACGCUACAAUGGUCGGUACAAUGGGUCGCAAAACCGCGAGGUGGAGCCAAUCCUCAAAACCGGCCUCAGUUCGGAUUGUAGGCUGCAACUCGCCUGCAUGAAGUUGGAGUUGCUAGUAAACGCGCGUCAGCACAGUGCGUUGAAUACGUUCCCGGGAAUGCCACUCCGCUCGUCACCUCAUCAAGGAGGAAACGCUAAAAGAAGUAAGUAUCUUUUCUCCAGAGACGCC
Molecule: ribosomal RNA, 600 nt
Filed under: uncultured bacterium
Lineage: Bacteria
Description: bacterial SSU rRNA
Rfam family: Bacterial small subunit ribosomal RNA
Source: RNAcentral